GAUGAACGCUAGCGGCAGGCCUAAUACAUGCAAGUCGAACGAGAUUAGUAGCAAUACUAUGAAAGUGGCGCACGGGUGCGUAACACGUAUGCAAUCUACCUUUAAUUGGAGAAUAGCCUCGAGAAAUCGGGAUUAAUACUCCAUAACAUUAUGAAAUGGCAUCAUUUUAUAAUUAAACCUCCGGGGAUUAAAGAUGAGCAUGCGCAACAUUAGCUAGUUGGUAAGGUAAUGGCUUACCAAGGCUACGAUGUUUAGGGGGUCUGAGAGGAUGAUCCCCCACACUGGUACUGAGACACGGACCAGACUCCUACGGGAGGCAGCAGUAGGGAAUAUUGGGCAAUGGAGGCAACUCUGACCCAGCCAUGCCGCGUGCAGGAUGACGGCCCUCUGGGUUGUAAACUGCUUUUAUACGGGAAGAAAAAGUACUACGUGUAGUAUAUUGACGGUACCGUAAGAAUAAGGAUCGGCUAACUCCGUGCCAGCAGCCGCGGUAAAGU
Molecule: ribosomal RNA, 497 nt
Filed under: uncultured bacterium
Lineage: Bacteria
Description: bacterial SSU rRNA
Rfam family: Bacterial small subunit ribosomal RNA
Source: RNAcentral